RNAcentral lists this ribosomal RNA (858 nucleotides) under Triticum aestivum (bread wheat). RNAcentral describes it as "partial small subunit ribosomal RNA". The record is from RNAcentral. Lineage: Eukaryota; Viridiplantae; Streptophyta; Magnoliopsida; Poales; Poaceae.
AUGAUUGAUCUGAAUGAAGUACCAGCUGAAAAUAAUGAUGAUCCAUUGUACUGUACACAACAUGGUUCUGGAAAUGCAGAAUUUGUGGCGGAAUCACCUAAUCCCCCUAUCAUCCAAAGAGUCGAUGGUGCUGCUACAGAAGCAAUGGAGGCAGAUGGGAAGUCAAGUCAUGGGGGUCGUGCUCCGGGCAGUACACAAGUACCUGCAGCUAUAGCAACUGGGGAUGCUCAUACCCUAGAUGGCACAGGUGCUGCAGGUGAUACCGGUGGCACUGUUGGUAAUGGUUUGGGUGCUGAAAAUGAUGAUGAAGCUUGGUCACAGCCCAAGGAGCCUUACGUGGGCAUGAGGUUCGACACUUUGGAAGAUGCCAAGGUGCAUUACAAUGCAUAUUCCUUGCAAAUGGGGUUUUCAAUCAAAAUGAAUAGUUCAAGGAAGGAUCUCAAAACAGGGGAGUUGAUAAAACAACAGUUUGUUUGCAACAAGUUUCGGAAGCCUGAUGUUGAUGACGGAGGGGCAGAAAAGAUUCCCGUGCUAGAUGACAUUGUUGAGCAAGAAAAAAAUGAUAAUGAAGAUGAGGCUAUUGUCUUUCUUGAUGAUGAUAGUAAAGGCAAAAAGAGGAGCAAGAAACGAAAAAGAGAUAAAAUUGUGCAAACUGGUUGCAAAGCUAAGAUGAUUGUGAAGGUAAUAGAUGGCAGAUGGGAAGUGAUCUACUUUGUUAGCGAGCACAACCACCCGUUGGUUGACAAGCCAUGUUUGACUAAAUAUUUGCAAUCACACCAAGGGAUCCCGCCGGAAGAAAGGGCCUUCCUUACUCAUCUUCAUAACUGCAAUUUAACUACAGAUGCCUUAGUUGCUUGA